Molecule: ribosomal RNA, 433 nt
Filed under: uncultured bacterium
Lineage: Bacteria
Description: partial 16S ribosomal RNA
Rfam family: Bacterial small subunit ribosomal RNA
Source: RNAcentral
AGCGAACGCUGGCGGCAGGCUUAACACAUGCAAGUCGAGCGGGCCCUUCGGGGUCAGCGGCCGACGGGUGAGUAACACGUGGGAACGUACCCUUUGGUUCGGAAUAACGCUGGGAAACUAGCGCUAAUACCGGAUACGCCCUUUUGGGGAAAGGCUUGCUGCCGAAGGAUCGGCCCGCGUCUGAUUAGCUAGUGGGUGGGGUAAUGGCCUACCAAGGCGACGAUCAGUAGCUGGUCUGAGAGGAUGAUCAGCCACACUGGGACUGAGACACGGCCCAGACUCCUGCGGGAGGCAGCAGUGGGGAAUAUUGGACAAUGGGCGCAAGCCUGAUCCAGCCAUGCCGCGUGAGUGAUGAAGGCCUUAGGGUUGUAAAGCUCUUUUGUCCGGGACGAUAAUGACGGUACCGGAAGAAUAAGCCCCGGCUAACUUCGUG